This 572-nucleotide small RNA is filed under the name Pan troglodytes (chimpanzee). RNAcentral describes it as "retained intron". Lineage: Eukaryota; Metazoa; Chordata; Mammalia; Primates; Hominidae. The record is from RNAcentral.
AUGGCCAUUCCCGGCAUCCCCUAUGAGAGACGGCUUCUCAUCAUGGCGGACCCUAGAGAUAAGGCGCUUCAGGACUACCGCAAGAAGUUGCUUGAACACAAGGAGAUCGACGGCCGUCUUAAGGAGUUAAGGGAACAAUUAAAAGAACUUACCAAGCAGUAUGAAAAGUCUGAAAAUGAUCUGAAGGCCCUACAGAGUGUUGGGCAGAUCGUGGGUGAAGUGCUUAAACAGUUAACUGAAGAAAAAUUCAUUGUUAAAGCUACCAAUGGACCAAGAUAUGUUGUGGGUUGUCGUCGACAGGUAAUACUUUAUAUUUGUAUAGUGCCUGAUGAUUGACAAAGCAGUUUCAUGUAAGUUAUUGUCUCCAAUUCUUGAGUCAAGCAGGUGGAGCAUUUAUGCCCGUAACUCACAAGGAUGAUUUGUUCAGACAUAGCUAGUUAUUAACAAAGCCUGAAUUCAAACCAUGGGCUUUGACUCCUGGCAUUCCGUACUUUCUACUGUAUUACAUUGUCUCAGUCAGAUCUAUUAAUAGCCACUUAGAAAUAAAAGUAUUUUAGAACUGGAAAACAGAC